UGAUGUUUGCCAGUGACUACCAAAGAUGUGACUCCAAGGUCUCACUUAUGAAAACAUCAGCUCUCCUCAAGGCAACAGAGGCACACAUUGACAUCAAACCACUGACAUGACACCAAAUCAGACUGGACUCUUGGAACGGGCCAUCACAUAGUCCUGGUCUCGUCUGAGAAAGGCCAGUCACAGUUGUGCUGUCUGUAUGUGAAGCCUGGGCUGCCAACAGGGACAGACAACAGGGAGCUGCAAGGUUGAACUUUGCAUGCAGCAGAUGUUUAGCCAGUGACAGAAAUUAAGUGCUUUCAGUGUGGAAGUACACUGAUGCUGAACCUCAUCAGCCUGCUGCAAAUACAUUGAUAUUCACGCAGUGACUCCAGAGCUGCAUUCCUGAGGAGGGUGAGACUAAAGCCAGCAGAUAAUUCUUCAAGAGUUGUUUCUGCAGCAGCCCAUAUAGGGACCCAUCUUUGGAGCUGGGACAAGCUAAAAAAAAUAUGUGCAGAAAGCACUGUUGUGGAAAACUUUGGACCAUGCAGUUGGGUUGUGCUGUCUUACUGGGGGAGAUCUGUGUGCCCCUUCUUUUUGUGCCCUGGAAGAAUCUGGACUUUCUCAAAAGGAAAAAGUAUUUCACAGUGGUUCUUCAAGGUGACUUAACAAUGUUGGGAUGAAUUAACUGAUGUGAAUAUUGCUGAAAAAUCACUGGCAGUAGGAU
Passer domesticus (house sparrow) is the source of this 703-nucleotide long non-coding RNA. RefSeq lists it as uncharacterized. NCBI's taxonomy places the organism in Eukaryota, Metazoa, Chordata, Aves, Passeriformes, Passeridae. The record is from RefSeq and is a predicted model, not a curated record. The transcript has 3 exons.